AAAAAAAAAAAAACUUCUGUUGGAGCAUCUCCAUUCCUUUGUCCUCAGCACUUCGAAUGGGAUUGGCUUAUGCCUGUCGGAGACUCCCCUCUUGGCCACAGCACAUGGUUCAGGGACAGGCAGUUGCCAGUCAGAGCCAGUAAGAUACCCAGAGAAUUUUGCUGGAGCUGCCAGGAAUGAAAUACCUCCUGCUUGUGUGGAAAUUGACUGAAUAGACUCACACCUGCUGGACAUACAUGAGCAUGGCUCUAGCUCUGGGAAAUGACUGUCCAUCGGGCAACCGUGAAGACAGGAACAGGUCGGAGAAUGGAGCUAUUUGCAACAAGAAAAGAGAGCCGGGAAAUGUGGGCGGGAAUCAGAGAUUAAAUCAGUGGGUAACCAAGACUGGCUGCCAUGGAGUUCUGCUCCGUUCCUAAUUCCCCUGGAAGAAAGAGAGGCGUGGAAUUGGCAGAGCCCUGGCAGCAUGAUGAGGAAACAGACCCCAUUCUGCAGUAAUUAGAAAACGUCAUGAUACGAUGCCAUGUGAAGCACACACCAGCACCUGCCAAAACGCUCAACCUGGAUCAAAUUACGGGGAAACAUCAGAUGGGUCCAGAUUACGCAGGACACUCUCCAUGACGACUGGCCUGGAAUCCUCCAAAACAGCAAUGCUGUGAAAGACAUAAAUAAAACAGGAAAAAAGGUAGGAGGGCUGGGCGCAGCGGCUCACGCCUGUAAUCCCAGCACUUUGGGAGGCUGAGGCAGGUGGAUCACGAGGUCAGGAGUUCAAGACCAGCCUGGCCAAAAUGGUGAAACUCUGUCUCUACUAAAAAUACAAAAAAUUAGCCAGGUGUGUUGGCACAUGCCUGUAAUCCCAGCUACUCAGGAGGCUGAGGGAAGAGAAUCACUUGAACCCAGGAGGCGGAGGUUUCAGUGAGCCGAGACUGAGCCAUUGCACUCCAGCCUGGGCAACAGAGUGAGACUCCAUCUCAAAAAACAACAACAAAAACCAGGCACAGUAGCUCACGCCUGUCAUCCCAGCACUUUGGGAGGCCAAGGUGGGCAGAUCACGAGGUCAGGAGUUCGAGACCAGCCUGACAAACAUGGUGAAACUCCAUCUCUACUAAAAAUACAAAAAUUAGCCCAGUGUGGUGGCGCACACCUGUAGUCCCAGCUACUUGGGAGGCUGAGGCAGGAGAAUUGCUUGAACCCAGGAGACAGAGGCUGCAGUGAGCCAAGACUGUGCCACUGCACUCCAGCCUGGCCAACAGAGCAAGACUCUGUCUCAAAAAAAAAAAAAAAAAAGGUCC
Molecule: long non-coding RNA, 1289 nt
Organism: Pan troglodytes (chimpanzee)
Lineage: Eukaryota; Metazoa; Chordata; Mammalia; Primates; Hominidae
Exons: 3
Source: RefSeq, a predicted model, not a curated record